UGCAAGUCGAGCGGACAGAAGGGAGCUUGCUCCCGGAUGUUAGCGGCGGACGGGUGAGUAACACGUGGGUAACCUGCCUGUAAGACUGGGAUAACUCCGGGAAACCGGAGCUAAUACCGGAUAGUUCCUUGAACCGCANGGUUCAAGGAUGAAAGACGGUUUCGGCUGUCACUUACAGAUGGACCCGCGGCGCAUUAGCUAGUUGGUGGGGUAAUGGCUCACCAAGGCGACGAUGCGUAGCCGACCUGAGAGGGUGAUCGGCCACACUGGGACUGAGACACGGCCCAGACUCCUACGGGAGGCAGCAGUAGGGAAUCUUCCGCAAUGGACGAAAGUCUGACGGAGCAACGCCGCGUGAGUGAUGAAGGUUUUCGGAUCGUAAAGCUCUGUUGUUAGGGAAGAACAAGUGCGAGAGUAACUGCUCGCACCUUGACGGUACCUAACCAGAAAGCCACGGCUAACUACGUGCCAGCAGCCGCGGUAAUACGUAGGUGGCAAGCGUUGUCCGGAAUUAUUGGGCGUAAAGGGCUCGCAGGCGGUUUCUUAAGUCUGAUGUGAAAGCCCCCGGCUCAACCGGGGAGGGUCAUUGGAAACUGGGAAACUUGAGUGCAGAAGAGGAGAGUGGAAUUCCACGUGUAGCGGUGAAAUGCGUAGAGAUGUGGAGGAACACCAGUGGCGAAGGCGACUCUCUGGUCUGUAACUGACGCUGAGGAGCGAAAGCGUGGGGAGCGAACAGGAUUAGAUACCCUGGUAGUCCACGCCGUAAACGAUGAGUGCUAAGUGUUAGGGGGUUUCCGCCCCUUAGUGCUGCAGCUAACGCAUUAAGCACUCCGCCUGGGGAGUACGGUCGCAAGACUGAAACUCAAAGGAAUUGACGGGGGCCCGCACAAGCGGUGGAGCAUGUGGUUUAAUUCGAAGCAACGCGAAGAACCUUACCAGGUCUUGACAUCCUCUGACAACCCUAGAGAUAGGGCUUUCCCUUCGGGGACAGAGUGACAGGUGGUGCAUGGUUGUCGUCAGCUCGUGUCGUGAGAUGUUGGGUUAAGUCCCGCAACGAGCGCAACCCUUGAUCUUAGUUGCCAGCAUUCAGUUGGGCACUCUAAGGUGACUGCCGGUGACAAACCGG
This 1126-nucleotide ribosomal RNA is filed under the name Bacillus safensis. Its description in RNAcentral is "bacterial SSU rRNA". It matches the Rfam family "Bacterial small subunit ribosomal RNA", at positions 56 to 1166 of the family's 1533-position model. Lineage: Bacteria; Bacillati; Bacillota; Bacilli; Caryophanales; Bacillaceae. The record is from RNAcentral.